AUUGAACGCUGGCGGCAGGCCUAACACAUGCAAGUCGAGCGGAUGAGAAGAGCUUGCUCUUCGAUUCAGCGGCGGACGGGUGAGUAAUGCCUAGGAAUCUGCCUGGUAGUGGGGGACAACGUUUCGAAAGGAACGCUAAUACCGCAUACGUCCUACGGGAGAAAGCAGGGGACCUUCGGGCCUUGCGCUAUCAGAUGAGCCUAGGUCGGAUUAGCUAGUUGGUGAGGUAAUGGCUCACCAAGGCGACGAUCCGUAACUGGUCUGAGAGGAUGAUCAGUCACACUGGAACUGAGACACGGUCCAGACUCCUACGGGAGGCAGCAGUGGGGAAUAUUGGACAAUGGGCGAAAGCCUGAUCCAGCCAUGCCGCGUGUGUGAAGAAGGUCUUCGGAUUGUAAAGCACUUUAAGUUGGGAGGAAGGGCAGUAAGUUAAUACCUUGCUGUUUUGACGUUACCGACAGAAUAAGCACCGGCUAACUCUGUGCCAGCAGCCGCCGCGG
This 500-nucleotide ribosomal RNA is filed under the name uncultured bacterium. RNAcentral describes it as "partial 16S ribosomal RNA". It matches the Rfam family "Bacterial small subunit ribosomal RNA", at positions 30 to 523 of the family's 1533-position model. The record is from RNAcentral.